Molecule: non-coding RNA, 1625 nt
Organism: Lactuca sativa (garden lettuce)
Lineage: Eukaryota; Viridiplantae; Streptophyta; Magnoliopsida; Asterales; Asteraceae
Source: RefSeq, a predicted model, not a curated record
GAGUGUGAGGGUGAAAAUUACAAGUUAUUUUCUAUUUCAAUUGGCCCAAGUAAAAGCCGUAUCGUAUUGGGCCUAAGAAAGGCCCCAAACUUUGACUGAACAACUAACAACGUGGUGAAAGUAGAACCUUAGGGUUUUUACUGUUUAAUCAAUCGGAAGAGCGCCGGGAACCACCGUUACCGUCAUUCGUCGGCUCCUCUCUCCGCCGCGCAUCCUCUACUAUCUCACCUGAUCCAAUGGCUCCGAAGAAGGAGAAGGCACCUCCGCCAUCUUCCAAGCCCGCUAAGUCCGGAGGUGGAAAGCAGAAGAAAAAGAAAUGGAGCAAGGGAAAGCAAAAGGAGAAGGUAAACAACAUGGUAUUGUUUGAUAAAGCUACUUAUGAUAAGCUAAUUUCCGAGGCACCCAAGUUCAAGCUCAUCACUCCUUCAAUUCUCUCUGAUCGUUUAAGGAUUAAUGAAUCACUAGCACGAAAAGCAAUUAGAGAGUUGAUGGCAAGAGGUACAAUUCGGAUGGUUUCUGCUCAUUCAAGCCAGCAGAUAUACACAAGAGAACAAUUCAUUAAUACGGCUACUUUUUUCCUUACGUGUACUUGUGAUUUCCUUGGAUUGUUAUAGUUGUUUGAGAGAGGCGAGAAAGAACGAUUGAAGGACCUUCUGAGUGAAAAGCUUAUCGAGUGUGGUUGGAAAGAUGAAAUGAAAUCCCUUUCUAGGUAUACGUUGCUAUUAUCCUGAAUGUGAUUGCUUCAAGGAGUAAGGGUUUAAUCCCUCUCAGAAAUCAGGUUUUAUUGGUCUCAUCACUGAUUAAUUACUGCAUAUUUUCUUUUGGAUGAAGUUUUUCAUUAUCCAUAUGGUGCUCAAAUGUUUAUUUUUAUGUCAUAUUAUGCUAUUUUAAAGAAGAGUGCUCUGUCUAAGUUCAUAACAGGUAUAUGUUUCACUGAUAUUCUUAUGUUUUCUUCUAGUUCAUACAAAACCAAGGGUUUGUUUUCAGUGUCUCAAAUGAAAAUGAAAUACAGGUAUGAUAUCUAUAUGUCCAUGUAAUUUCAUCUCUUAUAUCCUUACGAAAAUGCUUGUGAUUUUGAAAGGUUUGGGAUCUAGAACAGCGGCAGUUGGAUGCUAAUUUAUAAUGGGGAUCCAAUAUAAAAGUGCCUUCUCUGUAAUUUGUAGCACCAAUUACAUGUGAGUUUCCGAAAAAGUUCAUGGUUAAUUGUUUAUUAUUGCAAACAGAUAUGUUAGAGAUGAGUAUGGAUAUUUGUCUGAGUUGAAGUAUGACAUUGAAGAAGGGAAUAUCCAACCCAUGUCCUAUCAGCUUCCUCCAGAUCUCAUAGUUGAUGGAGGUGGGAUUCAAAUACCUGAUCAUCAGUUUGUUGUGGGACUUCUUGCCCAACCGUGUUCCACUAUGGAAAAUAAUUAAUCUUUUCUUUUUGGUUUAUCAUUGAAAUUCAUUACCUAUUUUCUUUCUUUAUGAUGAGUAGGUCAAUCUGUCAUAAUGUGCAUAAAUGGAUUGGGUUAAGUUAUGUUGCAUAUAUCUUUUAAUCUGCAGAGUGCCUGAUUGUAUAUCAAAACGGGUUGAUAAUUUUAUGGGCUGUGGGCAUGGUCAAUUUUCUAUAUAUGGGUUUUAUUUUUCAA